GUUCAGCAGCACAUACAUAUACCAAAAUUGGAAUGAUACAGAGAAGAUUAGCAUGGCCUCUGCACAAGGAUGACAUGCAAAUUCAUGAAACAUUCCAUAUUAAA
Molecule: small nuclear RNA, 104 nt
Filed under: Tupaia belangeri (northern tree shrew)
Lineage: Eukaryota; Metazoa; Chordata; Mammalia; Scandentia; Tupaiidae
Source: RNAcentral